This 400-nucleotide ribosomal RNA is filed under the name uncultured bacterium. Its description in RNAcentral is "bacterial SSU rRNA". It matches the Rfam family "Bacterial small subunit ribosomal RNA", at positions 355 to 770 of the family's 1533-position model. The record is from RNAcentral.
UGGGGAAUAUUGCACAAUGGGCGCAAGCCUGAUGCAGCAACGCCGCGUGAGGGAAGACGGUUUUCGGAUUGUAAACCUCUGUCUUUGGUGACGAAGAAGUGACGGUAGCCAAGGAGGAAGCCACGGCUAACUACGUGCCAGCAGCCGCGGUAAUACGUAGGUGGCAAGCGUUAUCCGGAAUUACUGGGUGUAAAGGGAGCGCAGGCGGGAUAGCAAGUCAGCGGUGAAAUGCAUGGGCUUAACUCAUGAGCUGCCGUUGAAACUGUUAUUCUUGAGUGGAGUAGAGGCAGGCGGAAUUCCGAGUGUAGCGGUGAAAUGCGUAGAUAUUCGGAGGAACACCAGUGGCGAAGGCGGCCUGCUGGGCUCUAACUGACGCUGAGGCUCGAAAGUGUGGGGAGCA